This 1530-nucleotide long non-coding RNA is filed under the name Junco hyemalis (dark-eyed junco). RNAcentral's name for it is "lncRNA (ENSJHYG00000008710.1)". The record is from RNAcentral. Lineage: Eukaryota; Metazoa; Chordata; Aves; Passeriformes; Passerellidae.
AUGUCCCAGUUUGGGCUGAGGGGUCACUCAGUGGUCACUCAGUGGUCACUCAGCGGUCACUCAGUGGUCACUUCCAGGCCAAUCCAGUGGUCACUCAGUGGUCACUCAGUGGUCACUCCAUGGUCACUUCCAGGCCAAUCCAGUGGUCACUCAGUGGUCACUUCCAAUGGUCACUCUGUGGUCACUCCAAAGCCAUUCCAGUGGUCACUCAGUGGUCACUUUGUGGUCACUCAGUGGUCACUCAGUGAUCACUCAAUGGUCACUUCCAGGGGUCACUCUGUGGUCACUCCAAAGCCAUUCCAGUGGUCACUCCAUGGUCACUUCAUGGUCACUGUGUGGUCACUCAGUGGUCACUUCCACGCCAUUCCAGAGGUCACUCAGUGGUCACUCAGUGGUCACUCAGAGGUCACUCAGUGGUCACUCACUGGUCAGUGGUCACUCAUUGGUCACUCAGCGGUCACUCAGUGGUCACUCAGUGGUCACUCAGUGGUCACUCAGGGUCAGUGGUCACUCAGUGGUCACUCAGUGGUCACUCACUGGUCAGUGGUCACUCAGCGGUCACUCAGCGGUCACUCACUGGUCAGCGGUCACUCAGUGGUCACUCAGGGUCACUCAGUGGUCACUCAGUGGUCACUCAGCGGUCACUCAGUGGUCACUCACUGGUCAGUGGUCACUCAGCGGUCACUCACUGGUCACUCACUGGUCAGUGGUCACUCAGUGGUCACUCAGGGUCACUCCCGGCCGCAGAACGCCGCGUGCGCCCCCAGUCCGGCCGCUCCGGCCGCAGCGAUGGCGACUUCGGCCCCCAGAGUGACCACAGCGAUGGCCAGCGGCUGCUGGGGGAGGGGCACCUGCGGACAGGGGUCAGAGGUCACGCGGGGUCACUCGGGGGUCACUCGGGGGUCACUCAGUGGUCACUCAGGGUCAGUGGUCACUCAGUGGUCACUCAUUGGUCACUCAGGGGUCAUUUUGGGCCAUUUUUGGGGCAUUUUGGGUCAGUGGUCACUCAGGGGUCACUCAAUGGUCACUCAUUGGUCAGUGGCCACUCAGGGGUCACUCUGGGGUCACUCGGGGUCAUUGGUCACUCAAGGGUCACUCAGGGGUCAUUUAGGGGCCAUUUUGGGUCAGUGGUCACUCAGGGGUCACUCAGGCGUUACUCAGGGUCAUUGGUCACUCAGUGGUCACUCAGGGGUCACUCAAUGGUCACUCAUUGGUCAGUGGUCACUCAUUGGUCACUCAAUGGCCACUCAUUGGUCAGUGGUCACUCCGGGGUCACUCAGUGGUCACUCAGUGGUCACUCAGGGUCACUCAGGGGUCACUCAUUGGUCACUCAGCGGUCACUCAGGGGUCACUCAUUGGUCACUCAGGGGUCACCGCGGGGUCAAAGGUCACUGACCUGCUCGCCCAGGUUGCUGAAGGCGUUCCCGUAGGCCCCGCCCCCCACAAGCCCCUCCCCCAGCGCCAGCGCCGCGGCCACGCCCAGCCCGGGCAGGAGGUGAUUGACAGCCACGGCGGCCAAUAGGAACGAGG